GAUGAAGAACGUAGCGAAAUGCGAUAAGUAAUGUGAAUUGCAGAAUUCAGUGAAUCAUCGAAUCUUUGAACGCACAUUGCGCCCGCCAGUAUUCUGGCGGGCAUGCCUGUCCGAGCGUCAUUUCAACCCUCGAACCCCUCCGGGGGGUCGGCGUUGGGGAUCGGCCCUGCCUCUUGGCGGUGGCCGUCUCCGAAAUACAGUGGCGGUCUCGCCGCAGCCUCUCCUGCGCAGUAGUUUGCACACUCGCAUCGGGAGCGCGGCGCGUCCACAGCCGUUAAACACCCAACUUCUGAAAUGUUGACCUCGGAUCAGGUAGGAAUAGCCGCUGAACUUAAGCAUAUCAAUAAGCGGAGGA
RNAcentral lists this unclassified non-coding RNA (355 nucleotides) under soil metagenome. RNAcentral describes it as "partial contains 5.8S ribosomal RNA, internal transcribed spacer 2, and large subunit ribosomal RNA". The stretch from base 1 to 120 matches the Rfam family "5.8S ribosomal RNA", at positions 35 to 154 of the family's 154-position model. The record is from RNAcentral.